UGUUAAAAUUUAAUCAAUUUCUAUUGUUAAAAACUGACGGAAUAACUGGAUAGUUUAACGUGGCGUGCCACAUUUACCUCAUGAUGACGUAAAUGGAUUAGAUUUUAACAAUAGAAAUUAAUGAAAUUGUUAACG
Molecule: non-coding RNA, 135 nt
Organism: Gossypium raimondii (Peruvian cotton)
Lineage: Eukaryota; Viridiplantae; Streptophyta; Magnoliopsida; Malvales; Malvaceae
Source: Rfam